Molecule: ribosomal RNA, 598 nt
Filed under: uncultured bacterium
Lineage: Bacteria
Description: bacterial SSU rRNA
Rfam family: Bacterial small subunit ribosomal RNA
Source: RNAcentral
CGGGAGGCAGCAGUAGKGAAUAUUCCACAAUGAGCGAAAGCUUGAUGGAGCGACACAGCGUGCACGAUGAAGGUCAUUCGGAUUGAAGUGCUGUUAUAAGGGAAGAACAUUUGCAAUAGGAAAUGAUUGCAGACUGACGGUACCUUGUCAGAAAGCGAUGGCUAACUAUGUGCCAGCAGCCGCGGUAAUACAUAGGUCGCAAGCGUUAUCCGGAAUUAUUGGGCGUAAAGCGUUCGUAGGCUGUUUGUUAAGUCUGGAGUUAAAUCCCGGGGCUCAACCCCGGCUCGCUUUGGAUACUAGCAAACUAGAGUUAGAUAGAGGUAAGCGGAAUUCCAUGUGAAGCGGUGAAAUGCGUAGAUAUAUGGAAGAACACCAAAGGCGAAGGCAGCUUACUGGGUCUAUACUGACGCUGAGGGACGAAAGCGUGGGGAGCAAACAGGAUUAGAUACCCUGGUAGUCCACGCCGUAAACGAUGAUCAUUAGUCGGUGGAGAAUCACUGACGCAGCUAACGCAUUAAAUGAUCCGCCUGAGCAGUAUCUGGCAAGAGUUAAACUUAAAGGAAUCGACGGGGACCCGCCCAACCGGUGGAGCAUGUGG